GCGGCACCCCGCCUCCCGGUUUCCCCCAUCGCCCUCGCUUCGCUCGGGCGCCCUUGCCCCUGUUUGCAACUGCAAUCGCGGCGGAUCUGCCGUUCUCCCACCCGCGCCCUGGAUCCGUUCGGGUCCGAUGCGCGCGCCGUUGGUUAGCUGCUGGUUUUUCUCGGCGCGCCGUUGGUUAAUCUGUUGGCUUGGCUCCUUGAUCUCCUGCUGUUUCGCUGUUUCUGACGCCUUCGUCAUCCAUCUCGUAGCCAUAGCCCGUGGAUUGGAUGGAGGUUGCGAUACUCCCUCCCCCCUCCGAGGAUCGGAGCAGUGACGCCUUAUUUGAUUCAUCAUUCAUUCAAUUAUCAAUUUAGAUGGAGCUCGUAUGGUGCUUUGGCUCCUUCAGAGAUUUGGUGUUUAGAUUAGGGGGAGUCUGAGCAUUUGAUUUGAUACACUGCAAAAACUUGUGGGAUUAGCCGAUUAGGCUAGGGGUGUGUCUUCGUUCUGGCAGGCAUCAUAAAUGAUCAAUAUGGGGACAUCUGAUAGAUUCCUUGGAGUGCUAAAUGCUGCACCGGGGUUUGUACCAAAUCAUUUAAGAGCUUGGCAGGCGUAGCAGCGGGUAUCUAUUCUUCACCAUUCAGGUAAAUCACAUUUAUCUACUAAGAUGUCGCAGUGUCGCACACUUCUUCAACUUCAAGCACAAUAACAUUUCUUCUGAUAGUUUACAUGUAAGGAACCUCCAAUAGAUUGGAAUAGGACUAUCAAUGCUCAUUCAGACAUUUUAUUUUGGCACUUUGUAGUUUCCAGUAGCCUCCCUCUCUCUGAAAGUAUUUCCUCAUGCUUAACAAUAUAAUCUUGAAACAUGAUUUUUUAUCUUCCUUUGCGCCAAAAUCCCUUAUAUGGUUAUAUGUCACUGAAUGUCAUCAAAUUUUGUAUAAGCUUGAAGUUUGUUGCGAUUUCUCACAGUUUGGGAGUGAAUAGAUGCCUGACAGGCAAUAAUAGUGAAUCGUGCCCAGUUUAGGUCAAUUUAUGGUUACUCUCACCUACAAAUAUGCUUUCUAACUCUACACUAUUAUAGUUAACUUUGUUACUCCUGUGGCCCCAACCUCUCAGUUUGCUUUUUUUUUGUGAGAAGUACUGCACUGAAAUUGCUGGAGCCAAAGCACUGGAAUGAUUCAGUGAGAAUGGAAUGCUUUAAUUGAAAUUCUCGAAAUGCAUCAUUUUGUUGAUUUUUUCAAAUGCUUAGGAUAGAUUAGGAAAAUCGUAUAUGCUACGCAGAAAGUGAUCGAUUGUCCUGGAAAUUCAUUUUCAGUUGACAUUAAAGUUUCAUAGCAUUCAAGAUACUAACAAUAUGAUUGACAAAAGCAUGCCCAGAAAGAAAUAGAAAAAUAAAUAAAUUGUUCUACAUCAGGAUAAACUUAUGAAUGCAAGAGUACUAAAUCUUAUUUCAGGGAUUGGAUUUAUCCUAAGACAGCGAGUAAUUUGAGUUGGCUUCACAUCUGUGCUUGCUAUCACUUCCUGACCAUGAUAUGAGUUUUAUGAUCUUUCUGACCUCCUUCGUACACAUAUGUGUCUUGUUUGCUUAACCUCUGAAACUUCAUUGCCUAUUGAAAUUUUGCUGUUCUUUUUCAUCGAAGAACUGUAGAAAGGUAUAUCAUUGUAUGUAGGCAUUAGCACUCCUGUACGAGUAUAGUUUUUUUAUGUGUUCUUCUGUCACAACUUGGUCUGGCUUUACUCUCUCUCUAAAAAAAAAUUGCUGUUGCUUACCCCAACUUGCUAGGACUAAAAUGAUCUUUUAGUUAUUGUUCUCAUGUAAGAUCUGUAAAUGUUCCAUAAAGUAAUAAAUCUUACAUAAAUGUGACAGGCAUAGCUUCAUGUUGCUAUUGGAACGAGACAGCUUCAUGGUUUUUAUGUGUUUAACUGAGGUUGUGUGGAAUGGAUUAGCCAACGGUAGAUGGUUUUGAUGGCUCAUGUUCUAAUUGUGGCUAAUUCAAUGGAUGUGAUAAAAUGGAAAUGUGAUAGACCUAUGAAGUUUUAGUUACUUGUUUAAGUAUGUUUCCUUAAUACAAAUAAAAUGUAAUCCUAGAAAUCACACCUACUGUGGAUGUUAGGACAAGUUUUGCUACAGAUUUUGGCACGCAAAGAAAUACACUCCCUUCGAUCCAAUUUAAUUAUUUCUUUAGCUCUGUAUACACAUAAUGCAGUAACUUUUGGCAUGAUUGGACCUUAAUAGCUGCAUUUUUAUUUUUGUAAUACCUCUACCAACAAGAAAUCAAUAUUGGCAUUUAGUGACAACGUUAUCUUGAGGAACCAAAACUAAGCUGCCAAAAUAACAUCUAUUUUCGAAUGGGGAUAGUAGUAAUUACUUAGAUGAAGGUUUUUCUAAAACCUUCAUUAAAUUGGUGAACAUAUUGUUCCUCUUAAUACUUGCUAUGCAUACCAUCAGUCCUAUUUUCUUAUACACUGAACUUAAGCAGUCAUAACAGCUGUAGAGUUCCUCCUAGACUGGUCUUUAGUGUUGAUAACCGACUUAUCUUCCAAUGUAGUUCGACACCAUUAGCAUAAAACACAGUUUAGAAUGCCACAAAUUUGGUGAUAACCAUGGAUGAUGAGUGUCUGAUAUUGGUUAUGUAGAUGGAGGGAACGAACUUUCUUUGAGUACACUGUAUGUUAGAAGUAGAACGGACUCGCAUUUCCUUUCCUGCUUCCCAGAGUUCACAAAUAAAUGGAGUGUAGAAACUAUUUAGCUGGAAAGUUAACCAGCUUUGGUCUUGCAAAUAUUUAAUUACUGUUUGAUCACUGUUAAGGCAUUACUGUUGAUGUUCAUAAUUCAGAUGGAAAGGAAGAUAUGAGAAACACUUUUAAAUGUUAUGAAAGUAAAAAGCUUGUUACAAAAAUGUUCUUUGGGUGUUAAGAACAACUCUUUCUGCCAUUAAACAUGAUUACAAGAAGACAAGAAGUUGACAUCUCAGCAUAAUCCAGAUAAGAAGUUUGAAAACAAACAGAAAGUGGUUCCAUCAAAUUGCUGUUGGUUAUGAGGUAAUCAAGAGCAUGGAACAUAAACAUUUUCUUCGAUUUACAGUUCUGUGGAUUCUUUCUUUGCAUUUGUAGCACUUAUAAGCGCUAUAGUACCCCUUCAUCAGGAUCUUGAGGUUAACCGAUUGUACCCAUUACCUAACAUUUUGUAAGCAGAUAGUCCCCACACAAAAGGUCAACAGAAGUAAGGGACCAUCUGGUCCAUUCCCUAAAGGAAGAAGUCCAUUUUUGGCCAUCCAAUUAUUGCCUCAGUUUGGUUUUGACCAUCGAACUGCAAAACUAGGAAUCUUUGGCUACCCAACUCUUAAAACCGUUCAUAUUUGGUCAUCGACCGGUUUUGGUGGUGGUUUUGCUAACAUGGACGCCACAAGGCGGUGGGGCCCACCUAUCAGUGCUCCUCUCUCUCCUCUCCUAUCCCUCUCCUCUCACCCUGCGCUGGCCGCCACCCUCCCCCGCGCAUCUCCAGCUCACCCGGCCGCACUGGCCCACGGCGGAGCUGCAUCUCGCUUUCCCGGCGGCGCUGGCCCGCGGCGGAGCUCGAGCUCACCCGGCCUUCUUCGCGUACCCACCGGGGCUCAAGGCCCACACAGCGUGCGCCGCCCCAGGAGGAGGAGGACAACACAGGUGCCUCCUCGAUGCCCAUGGAGACAGCGCCGCGGGCUUGCUCUGCUUCCUGGCGUCCCUCACCAGCGGCGAGAGGUGCUGCAGGAGAGAGGUGCUCCCGAUGCGGUGAGAUCUCGCUGCCGGUGCCCGUGGCCAGGUGUGAUUCGGCCCGAUUCGCCAAGGAUGCUGGAUCUCGAUGCUUCCUUGGCGGGGGAACUCGUGGGUAGUUCGACGAGUGGGAGAGUGUCUAGGAGGAGCUGGAGCGUUGGGAGCUGACGGAGGCGGGGCAGUUGAGAGCUGCCGACGGCGACGACACGGAGGAGGGCGUGGAGGCGAAGCAGCAGGAGCGAGAGAGAGAGAGAGAGAGAGAGAGAGAGAGAGGAGGGCUGACAGGUGGGCCCAUCGCCACAUGGCAUCCACAUCACCAAAACCAUCCAGCAAAAUCGCCCGAUGGCCAAAUGUGAACGGUUUUUAUAGUUGGAUGGUCAAACAUUUCUGGUUUUAGAGCUGGAUGGCCAAAACCAAACUUAGGCGAUAGUUCGAUGGUCAAAAGUAGACUGUUUCAAGUAACUUUAAAAACUGUGAUGGGUUUCAAGAUAGUUUCUGAAUUGAUAAUAAGUUUAUUUUCAUCAUUUCGAGAAAACACAUACUUUUCAUUCUAUAGGAGGCAUUCAUUGUCCUUUUCCCUUUUCCUUCUUGCCAUGCUAGCUACCACCUGUUAUUUUCAGCAGAGUGAUGGAUGGACAAUGAAAUGUAAGUUAGGACCACUGAUGCCUAGAGUAAGGUUUACUUUGUCCAUUCUAAUUAUGAACUGUCACUCAGUUGCAAUUCUGAGGAUAGAUCACCAAUUAAUUAUCUUCCAGAUUUGGAACUAUAGGAGCCAAGCAACAGUCUAAUUAGCCAUUUUGAUGUAUCAUUAUCCAUUUAUUUAUUUUGUACAGUGAAAUCCUAUGCUAUUGAGUAUUUACAUCGUGGAUCUAAUUCAUGCGAAACUCAGUGAUUGCAAUGAAUAUUUGGUGAACCACAUUGUUUCCGACUCGCCUCUUGAUUUUCCAGAAGAAUGGUUGAAGUGACAGCUGCAUUGUCAUUUCAGAAACCAAAAGCAGCUCCUGCCAAAGUAUGCAAGGCAUCCUAGGUGGAAGGUGCGCAGAGUCGUGCUGUCAAGUUCUUUGUGUCUGGAGUCUGGACGGGACUAGUGAGCUAUUGGGAGGACUUGUGCAGGCCCAUAUGAUCAUAUUCCAUAAUCCAUACAGUGAACCAUAGCUUGACUCACAAUAUAGCACGAUUGUAUCUUUCCUCCCGUCUUCAUCAGCCCACCCUCUUCCUAUGCAAUAGCUAGUUUCUGCAUGGUAAUGGAGAAGAUGAUGGUGGCAUUGGGGUGGGAACCGAAGUAGCUAUGGAGAUCACUGCAAUUGCAAACAGCAGCUUAAUGCUUGCUUGAUACAACCAUUCGGCAUUGUGAUCGCCGCAUCCCUUCUGUCCUCAUUGGCAUCUUCUUUGCUGAAACGCAUGGGAGAAAAGUUUCCAAUGUGCAGGCGAACUUGAACGAGAUGCGCACAGGGGGGGAGUUCAGGUUCCAAUCCGAUGGCCAAGGUUUUCUUUUACUGGAGGUUUUCUGUUCAACUUCUGAGUUGUGACAGACCCCUAGACUAUUCUUGUGGCGUCCGUCUUGAGCACUGAAGAGGUUGAUUUCUCCAGAAUUGCUGGGCCUAAAAUUAGGUGUCGAUAAGCGUAUCCGGAUCCGCAUGGGCGCACAUGAUCUAAAAGCUACGGACUGCAUACUGCUUCCAAUAUAUUGUGAUAGAUCUAGGACCACAUGUCAACCAUCCUGAAAUUGUAGUUCUUUUCUUUUUCGGGGCAUAAAUUUCCUCUUGCGAAAUCGGAAUAAUCUCGGGUUACCUGUAUGGCUGCAUUAUCGUCUUUCUUUAUUUCAAAACUAGCCCGUAUUAGCACUUUA
Molecule: long non-coding RNA, 5575 nt
Organism: Panicum hallii
Lineage: Eukaryota; Viridiplantae; Streptophyta; Magnoliopsida; Poales; Poaceae
Exons: 3
Source: RefSeq, a predicted model, not a curated record